AUUGAACGCUGGCGGCAUGCUUUACACAUGCAAGUCGAGCGGUAACAGGCCUUCGGGUGCUGACGAGUGGCGAACGGGUGAGUAAUGCAUCGGAACGUACCCAGAGGUGGGGGAUAACGCAGCGAAAGCUGUGCUAAUACCGCAUGUGAUCUGAGGAUGAAAGCGGGGGACCGAGCAGCAAUGUUUGGCCUCGCGCCUUUGGAGCGGCCGAUGUCGGAUUAGCUAGUUGGUGGGGUAAAGGCCUACCAAGGCGACGAUCCGUAGCUGGUCUGAGAGGACGACCAGCCACACUGGGACUGGGACACGGCCCAGACUCCUACGGGAGGCAGCAGUGGGGAAUUUUGGACAAUGGGCGCAAGCCUGAUCCAGCAAUGCCGCGUGCGGGAAGAAGGCCUUCGGGUUGUAAACCGCUUUUGGCAGGAACGAAACGGUGUCCGCUAAUACCGGGCGCUAAUGACGGUACCUGCAGAAUAAGCACCGGCUAACUACGUG
Molecule: ribosomal RNA, 492 nt
Filed under: uncultured bacterium
Lineage: Bacteria
Description: partial 16S ribosomal RNA
Rfam family: Bacterial small subunit ribosomal RNA
Source: RNAcentral